This 75-nucleotide ribosomal RNA is filed under the name Lehmannia marginata. RNAcentral describes it as "partial 5.8S ribosomal RNA". The record is from RNAcentral. Lineage: Eukaryota; Metazoa; Mollusca; Gastropoda; Stylommatophora; Limacidae.
CAUUUAAAUCGAAUCUUGAACGCAUAUGUGCGGCCUCGGGUCCAUCCCGAGGCCACGCCCGUCUGAGGGUCGGCU